AUUGAACGCUGGCGGCAGGCCUAACACAUGCAAGUCGAGCGGAUGAAGGGAGCUUGCUCCUGGAUUCAGCGGCGGACGGGUGAGUAAUGCCUAGGAAUCUGCCUGGUAGUGGGGGAUAACGUCCGGAAACGGGCGCUAAUACCGCAUACGUCCUCAGGGAGAAAGUGGGGGAUCUUCGGACCUCACGCUAUCAGAUGAGCCUAGGUCGGAUUAGCUAGUUGGUGGGGUAAAGGCCUACCAAGGCGACGAUCCGUAACUGGUCUGAGAGGAUGAUCAGUCACACUGGAACUGAGACACGGUCCAGACUCCUACGGGAGGCAGCAGUGGGGAAUAUUGGGCAAUGGGCGAAAGCCUGAUCCAGCCAUGCCGCGUGUGUGAAGAAGGUCUUCGGAUUGUAAAGCACUUUAAGUUGGGAGGAAGGGCAGUAAGUUAAUACCUUGCUGUUUUGACGUUACCAACAGAAUAAGCACCGGCUAACUUCGUG
RNAcentral lists this ribosomal RNA (484 nucleotides) under uncultured bacterium. RNAcentral describes it as "partial 16S ribosomal RNA". It matches the Rfam family "Bacterial small subunit ribosomal RNA", at positions 30 to 507 of the family's 1533-position model. The record is from RNAcentral.